AACGAACGCUGGCGGCAUGCCUAACACAUGCAAGUCGAACGAGAUCUUCGGAUCUAGUGGCGCACGGGUGCGUAACGCGUGGGAAUCUGCCCUUUGCUUCGGAAUAACAGUGAGAAAUUACUGCUAAUACCGGAUGAUGUCUUCGGACCAAAGAUUUAUCGGCAAAGGAUGAGCCCGCGUAGGAUUAGGUAGUUGGUGGGGUAAUGGCCUACCAAGCCGACGAUCCUUAGCUGGUCUGAGAGGAUGAUCAGCCACACUGGGACUGAGACACGGCCCAGACUCCUACGGGAAGCAGCAGUGGGGAAUAUUGGACAAUGGGGGAAACCCUGAUCCAGCAAUGCCGCGUGAGUGAUGAAGGCCUUAGGGUUGUAAAGCUCUUUUACCAGGGAUGAUAAUGACAGUACCUGGAGAAUAAGCUCCGGCUAACUCCGUG
Molecule: ribosomal RNA, 433 nt
Filed under: uncultured bacterium
Lineage: Bacteria
Description: partial 16S ribosomal RNA
Rfam family: Bacterial small subunit ribosomal RNA
Source: RNAcentral